GAUGAACGCUGGCGGCGUGCCUAAUACAUGCAAGUCGAGCGAACAGAUAAGGAGCUUGCUCCUUUGACGUUAGCGGCGGACGGGUGAGUAACACGUGGGUAACCUACCUAUAAGACUGGGAUAACUUCGGGAAACCGGAGCUAAUACCGGAUAAUACUUCGAACCGCAUGGUUCGAUAGUGAAAGAUGGUUUUGCUAUCACUUAUAGAUGGACCCGCGCCGUAUUAGCUAGUUGGUAAGGUAACGGCUUACCAAGGCGACGAUACGUAGCCGACCUGAGAGGGUGAUCGGCCACACUGGAACUGAGACACGGUCCAGACUCCUACGGGAGGCAGCAGUAGGGAAUCUUCCGCAAUGGGCGAAAGCCUGACGGAGCAACGCCGCGUGAGUGAUGAAGGUCUUCGGAUCGUAAAACUCUGUUAUUAGGGAAGAACAUACGUGUAAGUAACUGUGCACGUCUUGACGGUACCUAAUCAGAAAGCCACGGCUAACUACGUG
This 497-nucleotide ribosomal RNA is filed under the name uncultured bacterium. RNAcentral describes it as "partial 16S ribosomal RNA". It matches the Rfam family "Bacterial small subunit ribosomal RNA", at positions 28 to 507 of the family's 1533-position model. The record is from RNAcentral.